This 50-nucleotide ribosomal RNA is filed under the name Parnassia tenella. RNAcentral describes it as "partial 5.8S ribosomal RNA". The record is from RNAcentral. Lineage: Eukaryota; Viridiplantae; Streptophyta; Magnoliopsida; Celastrales; Celastraceae.
ACUCUCGGCAACGGAUAUCUUGGCUCUCGCAUCGAUGAAGAAACGUAGCA